CCGGCACGGGUGAGUAACACGUAUCCAACCUGCCGUCUACUCUUGGACAGCCUUCUGAAAGGAAGAUUAAUACAAGAUGGCAUCAUGAGUCCGCAUGUUCACAUGAUUAAAGGUAUUCCGGUAGACGAUGGGGAUGCGUUCCAUUAGAUAGUAGGCGGGGUAACGGCCCACCUAGUCUUCGACGGAUAGGGGCUCUGAGAGGAAGGUCCCCCACAUUGGAACUGAGACACGGUCCAA
RNAcentral lists this ribosomal RNA (237 nucleotides) under uncultured bacterium. Its description in RNAcentral is "partial 16S ribosomal RNA". It matches the Rfam family "Bacterial small subunit ribosomal RNA", at positions 100 to 334 of the family's 1533-position model. The record is from RNAcentral.